GCAUCUGUAACGGAGAACAUGUAAGUUAUGCUUGUUAAUUAUCUGCAUCUUGUAAAACAUGAUCACAUAUAGAAAAUCACAAUAAAAAAUAACGUUACAAAUGAAAUCUGUGUGUGUGUGUGUGUGUGUGUAAAACGGGUAAAUGUGGUCGUCUCAUUUGAGACUGAGCCAAAUGGUUUUCGUUAAUUGGCCGUGCAAUAUCAUACAGCUGGGCCUGAUUAAAACUCUAUACCGUGAAGAAAGAGAGAAAUUAGGAGAGGACAGAAAGAAAGAGAGAGAUGAGGAGAAGAAAGAGCCAGAGAGGGUCCCAACAUGUGCUAUGCUCACAUCGCAGGAAAAAGAAUACCAAGGGAAAUUCCCGGGAACUAUUCCCCAUCUCCCAUCUCAGUCUGCUUCUGGAAUGUGAUGGUCCUUCUUCCCUAAAUCCUUCCCUCUCAUGUCAUUUACAUACUACUCUUAAUCUUCCCAAAUCCCUCUCUCACGAAAGUCAGGCAGGAAUUUCUCCAGAAGAGGAGGAAAGGCUGUCUCGACUGAUAUUUUAUGACUCUGAGGGAAUUAUGCAGGGAUUAGAGAGGAAAUUGAUGAGGAACAGCACUAUGAAAUGUCUUUCUCUCGCUCUCACUCUUUGGAAGAACACCAGUGCUUUGUCUUCAUAGAUAUUGGUUACGUGGACUUGUUUUUUAAAACAUUUAAGAAGGCUAAGCAAUUUAUAAAUGGUCAGUAUUCAUAAACAGACCCACCUGUGCUUUUCUAGUCUCAUGUAGCCGGACUUUCUACCAUCAGCAUAAGAACCACCAAUUUAGACAAGAGGCCAUUUAACACCACAUAAAGUCUCUGACCACAGGUUACUUUUAAUAUGUGACUUUUAGAAGUUGGUUGUUUUGAAAUAGGAAGAUUAUGGGUUUAUCUUUUAAAAAAUGGUAUUUUGUAAAAUAUUUUGCAUGUAAAACUACUUUAUUUUGCAAUAAAUACCACAUAAUUUGAUAUUU
Carassius carassius (crucian carp) is the source of this 989-nucleotide long non-coding RNA. RefSeq lists it as uncharacterized. Lineage: Eukaryota; Metazoa; Chordata; Actinopteri; Cypriniformes; Cyprinidae. The record is from RefSeq and is a predicted model, not a curated record. The transcript is spliced from 3 exons.